This 162-nucleotide ribosomal RNA is filed under the name Pseudopodospermum molle. RNAcentral's name for it is "Scorzonera mollis 5.8S ribosomal RNA". It matches the Rfam family "5.8S ribosomal RNA". From Rfam's summary of the family: 5.8S ribosomal RNA (5.8S rRNA) is a component of the large subunit of the eukaryotic ribosome. Lineage: Eukaryota; Viridiplantae; Streptophyta; Magnoliopsida; Asterales; Asteraceae. The record is from RNAcentral.
AAACGACUCUCGGCAACGGAUAUCUUGGCUCACGCAUCGAUGAAGAACGUAGCAAAAUGCGAUACUUGGUGUGAAUUGCAGAAUCCCGUGAACCAUCGAGUUUUUGAACGCAAGUUGCGCCCAAAGCCAUCCGGCCGAGGGCACGCCUGUCUGGGCGUCACG